CCGAAAGGCAGGAGUGCCUGCAAGGGAGCGCGGAGACAGGUGGUGCAUGGCUGUCGUCAGCUCGUGUCGUGAGAUGUUGGGUUAAGUCCCGCAACGAGCGCAACCCUCACCUCUUGUUGCCAUCAGGUCAUGCUGGGCACUCUAGAGGAACUGACCCGGUCAACGGGGAGGAAGGCGGGGAUGACGUCAAGUCAUCAUGCCCCUUACGUCCUGGGCUACACACGUGCUACAAUGGCCGGUACAAAGGGAUGCCACACCGCGAGGUAGAGCUAAACCCAAAAAGCCGGUCUAAGUUCGGAUUGGAGUCUGCAACUCGACUCCAUGAAGGAGGAAUCGCUAGUAAUCGCGUAUCAGCACGACGCGGUGAAUACGUUCCCGGGCCUUGUACACACCGCCCGUCACACCACGAAAGCCAG
RNAcentral lists this ribosomal RNA (416 nucleotides) under uncultured bacterium. Its description in RNAcentral is "bacterial SSU rRNA". It matches the Rfam family "Bacterial small subunit ribosomal RNA", at positions 1001 to 1414 of the family's 1533-position model. The record is from RNAcentral.